ACGUUAGUAGUAUAAUAAUAUUAUUCCGCCUUUCCAAGGCGGAUAUCUCGACGAGUUAACGUA
Molecule: transfer RNA, 63 nt
Filed under: Breviscolex orientalis
Lineage: Eukaryota; Metazoa; Platyhelminthes; Cestoda; Caryophyllidea; Capingentidae
Description: tRNA-Gly
Source: RNAcentral